Triticum aestivum (bread wheat) is the source of this 2706-nucleotide long non-coding RNA. RefSeq lists it as uncharacterized. The transcript has 4 exons. The record is from RefSeq and is a predicted model, not a curated record. NCBI's taxonomy places the organism in Eukaryota, Viridiplantae, Streptophyta, Magnoliopsida, Poales, Poaceae.
CGAUACGUCUACUCGGGAGAAAAGGGUGUGAGGCGAUGCGCGUUCCUCUCGAUAGAUCUUAGGCACGUCACCGCCGCCGCCGCCGCCGCUACCACCUCCUCCGCCGUUCUUCUAUUCCCUUUGGGUUGCUGGUUCUCUAGAAGCCUUGGUUUCUUCUCAUCCCGCCUCUCUCGCCAUGUCUUCUCUCGCUCUGCCCAGUUGCCGUUGUGUGUCCCCGUCGACCGCUGCCGCCGUUCCCUCCCGGUCGACCGCUGCCGCCGUUCCCUCCCCGUCAUCCGCCGCAUGGAUCAAGUUCUCGCUACCAUCGCCGUUCUGUCUAACACUCUUUCUUAGGGAGGAAGAUGGAGGAUGCAAAGGCUACUAGAAAGCAUGGGAGCCCAUCCAGAUCCGUCUUAGGAGCCCACCACUUCUGUUGUUCCGCACCUCGCCCUCCGGCAGCGACGCCUUCGAUCUUUCUCUGAGCCGAGCUCCUCGUGUGACUGUGCUCCGAUGGCGCAGCUUCAGGGGAACAGGUUUGUGAAGGAAAAGAAAAGAAAAGGAAUAAGCUGCAGUAAAAUUUUGGUGAAGAACAUUUUUCCAUAGCUUGUGAACACUCAAAUCACCACUUGAAGAAGAAGAGGUGGGUGCAUGCGCUCAUGGACCAGCUCAACCUGCAGGACACGGGCAAUACCGCGGCGAGGGUCGGUGCGUGUCAAUAGGCACAGACACCAUCCAUACCCAUGAGAACGGUCUGGUUCAGCAGCUGCAUGCACAUCUGGUGGGUGCGACCUCCAUGCUCGAGCGACGACGACCAGCAUGGCAAACAAAUAGGAGAAUUGGCUCUGUUCUCCAUAGGGAAUACAACCAUGAAUUGUUCCACUUUUGCAAAGUUUGGAGAUGGUCGAGAUCUGCAUGUGCAGAAGCAUUUCAAGUAAAUUAGGUUUGAAUGGCAGGUACCAUAUGGUAGGAAAUAUGUUCUAUAUGGUGGUAUUCCUGAGAUACAUAUUUCAUCAUAAGUUGCUCUGAAUAAAGUAAAAUGUGAUCUCAGGUAUUAGCUUACUCUUAUGUAAGUAAAAGCUGGUCACAACAAUCUAAUUUGUGAUGACCUACAGAAAUAUGAAAAAAGAGAGAAUGCGCUUGAAUAUUAACUGCGCUGAUGCCUAUUCAAUCAAACCAAUCAUUAUUGUUACCUUAAGUGUUUCCAUUAUAUGACAUUUUGUGUCUACACUUCAAAAAAUGAAGAGUUCAACAUGAAUGGGGACAUUAAAAAGUCCAAGUGAGGUGCUUAUUUAAUUUUAUGUUUUUUGGGGUAAACAUGAAUUCCAUCUUAUGAUUUGCACUAACAAAAGAUGCACCAGCUCAGUUUUUAUCCAUCUACAGAACUAAUAAAGUAAAGAUAUCCUAUUGUUGGACAGAAAUCUUGACAUAUGGAUUCUUAUAGCAUGAUAGGGAGCAGGUGCGGCUCCCAAAGCCAUGUUGUUGCAGUUUUUUUCUUCAGAUCUUGGAACAGCAAGAUCACUGUAUACAAUUGUCUUCAAUUUGUACAUCAAUUGGAAGAAAAAUCUAAACUUACAUCUCCUGCUAAGACUGAUAGGGUAUUCUUGCCCAGUUUAUAGGUCUUGGUCAGUUUUUACAUGUUUUUUUUAUUGUUUUAUCUUCGACAAGCUUAUAAUGUUCAGUGGAUUCAUACUUUGUCCAAAAUUGCAAAGGAGCUUAUACAGUGACCACAUGCAGAAUAUAGAUAUAGCUCUCAAGGUACUUUCCUUUGUUAUGUACUGCAAAUUAUUUUGUGUGAUAAAGCAACCAUUUUGAAAAUCAGAAGUGCAGACGUUGUCAUAGAAGGAUAACUACGAACCUUGCAUUAUAUACUAUUGUUAGUGCAAGCAGUGGGUUGAAGUUUAUCUAGAACAAUGUGUUUCCUUCGCAAAAAACUUGUGUCAUCUGACCAGCUGUUGUGGCACACCGCGCAACCUGUGGUGCUACUCAUCAUCGUUUAAUUAGGGAACUAACCAUUCAUGUGUUGCUACUUGCUACCUACAAGGUAUAUCUACUUAUGAAAAAUGUGGUGCACCUGUAAUCUAGCAUCUUCCUUUGGACCUGCAGGAUGUAGUAGUGCCCUUUAUUCUCUUAUCGAAAUAUAUUCAACUGUUUAUUCACAAGAGGUCUUUAACCAUUGUUUAUUUUUUGCACAUGUUUAUUUUCUUCUAUAUAAUGAUUCAAGUUUUCGAACAUUGUUUUGUUGCAAGACAUCUGUACAUCAGGCUUGAGAUCAAAAUUGAGUUGAGUUUGUCUGUCCAAUUCGCCUCUUGGUUACCAUGCGAGAUUAUGAAAUUUAUUCAUUAUGACCUGAAAUGUAGUUGAAUUCCAAUCUAUUUUAGAUUUUCCUGGAAUGCCUGAUGACUUUUCUUCUAGGAUGAAUAAAUUAAACCUACAUAUUUCAUGCCUAUGUAUAUGUGCGUGGACAUUACUAUCAUUCUAUUGCAAAAUUAGACGGGCACAGCAACGCGCGCCGUCAAUGAUCUAGUAGUUUCUUUAAAACAAAUCCACCACCGUGCUCUAAAAGAUAUAAGUGAAGCACUAGAGCAAAAAUUAUCACGCUCAAAGGAUAUAAGUGAAGCACAUAGAUUAUUCUAGCAAAUUCUAAUUGUUGUAAGGCUCUCCCUCAUUAAAGGAUUUCAGAUCUUGAUACUUAUUCAAACAGCAAGCAAAGCUAAAGGAAACUACAUA